UUAGAAUAGAAUUUGAGGUUUGACCUGCCCACUGAUUUAUUAAAUGGCCGCAGUAAUUUGACUGUGCAAAGGUAGCAUAAUCAUUAGUUUUUUAAUUAAAAGCUUGUAUGAAUGGUUGGACGAAAUAAAUACUGUCUUUAGAUAAUAAAUAGAAUUUAAUUUUUAAGUUAAAAAGCUUAAAUAAUUAUAAAAGACGAGAAGACCCUAUAGAUCUUUAUAAUAUUUAGUAUAUAUUUAAUUAAGAUUAUUUUAUUAUUUAUAUAAAAUAUUAUUUUAUUGGGGUAAUAAAAAGAUUUAAUUAAUUCUUUAAAUUUUGUAUAUAGAUUAAUAGAUUUUUGAUCCUUUAUUAGAGAUUUUAAGAUUAAGUUACCUUAGGGAUAACAGCGUAAUUUUUUUGAAGAGUUCAUAUCGAUAAAAAAGUUUGCGACCUCGAUGUUGGAUUAAAAAUUAUUCUAGGUGUAGUAUUUUAGAAUUUUGGUCUGUUCGACCAUUAAAUUUUUACAUGAUCUGAGUUUAGACCGGUGUGAGCCAGGUCGGUUUCUAUCUUUAUUAGAUUAAUAUAUUUUAGUACGAAAGGACCAAAUAUAAAAUAUAUAUGAUAUUUUUAUUUUUGAAUUAUAU
Molecule: ribosomal RNA, 621 nt
Filed under: Paroster milgunensis
Lineage: Eukaryota; Metazoa; Arthropoda; Insecta; Coleoptera; Dytiscidae
Description: partial 16S ribosomal RNA
Rfam family: Bacterial large subunit ribosomal RNA (bases 377-535)
Source: RNAcentral